GACGAACGCUGGCGGCGUGCUUAACACAUGCAAGUCGAACGGAAAGGCCCUGCUUUUGUGGGGUGCUCGAGUGGCGAACGGGUGAGUAACACGUGAGUAACCUGCCCUUGGCUUUGGGAUAACUUCAGGAAACUGGGGCUAAUGCCGGAUAGGAGCUCCUGCUGCAUGGUGGGGGUUGGAAAGUUUCGGCGGUUGGGGAUGGACUCGCGGCUUAUCAGCUUGUUGGUGGGGUAGUGGCUUACCAAGGCUUUGACGGGUAGCCGGCCUGAGAGGGUGACCGGCCACAUUGGGACUGAGAUACGGCCCAGACUCCUACGGGAGGCAGCAGUGGGGAAUAUUGCACAAUGGGCGGAAGCCUGAUGCAGCAACGCCGCGUGCGGGAUGACGGCCUUCGGGUUGUAAACCGCUUUCGCCUGUGACGAAGCGUGAGUGACGGUAAUGGGUAAAGAAGCACCGGCUAACUACGUG
This 468-nucleotide ribosomal RNA is filed under the name uncultured bacterium. RNAcentral's name for it is "partial 16S ribosomal RNA". It matches the Rfam family "Bacterial small subunit ribosomal RNA", at positions 28 to 507 of the family's 1533-position model. The record is from RNAcentral.